UCUUAAGGCUGAGACACGACGUCGAGCUACUACGGUAGUGAAGUCAUUGAUGCCAUGCUUCCAGGAAAAGCCUCUAAGCUUCAGAUUGUAAGGAAUCGUACCCCAAACCGACACAGGUGGUCGGGUAGAGAAUACCAAGGCGCUUGAGAGAACUCGGGUGAAGGAACUAGGCAAAAUGGUACCGUAACUUCGGGAGAAGGUACGCUCUUGAUGGUGAAGUCCCUCGCGGAUGGAGCUGACGAGAGUCGCAGAUACCAGGUGGCUGCAACUGUUUAUUAAAAACACAGCACUGUGCAAAAUCGUAAGAUGACGUAUACGGUGUGACGCCUGCCCGGUGCCGGAAGGUUAAUUGAUGGGGUUAGACUUCGGUCGAAGCUCUUGAUCGAAGCCCCGGUAAACGGCGGCCGUAACUAUAACGGUCCUAAGGUAGCGAAAUUCCUUGUCGGGUAAGUUCCGACCUGCACGAAUGGCGUAAUGAUGGCCACGCUGUCUCCACCCGAGACUCAGUGAAAUUGAAAUCGCUGUGAAGAUGCAGUGUACCCGCGGCUAGACGGAAAGACCCCGUGAACCUUUACUACAGCUUGGCACUGAACAUUGACCCUACAUGUGUAGGAUAGGUGGGAGGCUUUGAAGCAAGUACGCCAGUAUUUGUGGAGCCGUCCUUGAAAUACCACCCUUGUAGUGUUGAUGUUCUAACGUCGACCCCUAAUCGGGGUUGCGGACAGUGCCUGGUGGGUAGUUUGACUGGGGCGGUCUCCUCCCAAAGAGUAACGGAGGAGCACGAAGGUGGGCUAAUCACGGUUGGACAUCGUGAGGUUAGUGCAAUGGCAUAAGCCCGCUUGACUGCGAGAAUGACAAUUCGAGCAGGUGCGAAAGCAGGUCAUAGUGAUCCGGUGGUUCUGAAUGGAAGGGCCAUCGCUCAACGGAUAAAAGGUACUCCGGGGAUAACAGGCUGAUACCGCCCAAGAGUUCAUAUCGACGGCGGUGUUUGGCACCUCGAUGUCGGCUCAUCACAUCCUGGGGCUGAAGUCGGUCCCAAGGGUAUGGCUGUUCGCCAUUUAAAGUGGUACGCGAGCUGGGUUUAGAACGUCGUGAGACAGUUCGGUCCCUAUCUGCCGUGGGCGUUGGAAGAUUGAAGGGGGCUGCUCCUAGUACGAGAGGACCGGAGUGGACGAACCUCUGGUGUUCGGGUUGUGUCGCCAGACGCAUUGCCCGGUAGCUAAGUUCGGAAUCGAUAACCGCUGAAAGCAUCUAAGCGGGAAGCGAGCCCUGAGAUGAGUCUUCCCUGAUACUUUAAGUAUCCUAAAGGGUUGUUCGAGACUAGAACGUUGAUAGGCAGGGUGUGUAAGCGUUGUGAGGCGUUGAGCUAACCUGUACUAAUUGCCCGUGAGGCUUAACCAU
Molecule: ribosomal RNA, 1401 nt
Filed under: Vibrio owensii LMG 25430
Lineage: Bacteria; Pseudomonadati; Pseudomonadota; Gammaproteobacteria; Vibrionales; Vibrionaceae
Description: bacterial LSU rRNA
Rfam family: Bacterial large subunit ribosomal RNA
Source: RNAcentral